GACGAACGCUGGCGGCGUGCUUAACACAUGCAAGUCGAACGGUGAAGCGCCUUCCUUUUUGGUGGGUGUGGAUGAGUGGCGAACGGGUGAGUAACACGUGAGUAACCUGCCCCCUUCUUCUGGAUAACCGCAUGAAAGUGUGGCUAAUACGGGAUAUUCUGGGUCUGUCGCAUGAUGGGUCUGGGAAAGAUAUUGUUUCGGUGGGGGAUGGGCUCGCGGCCUAUCAGCUUGUUGGUGGGGUGAUGGCCUACCAAGGCGGUGACGGGUAGCCGGCCUGAGAGGGUGGACGGUCACACUGGGACUGAGGCACGGCCCAGACUCAUACGGGAGGCAGCAGUGGGGAAUAUUGCACAAUGGGCGCAAGCCUGAUGCAGCGACGCCGCGUGAGGGAUGGAGGCCUUCGGGUUGUGAACCUCUUUCGCUAGUGAAGCAGGCCUGCCUCGUUUGUGGGUGGGUUGACGGUAGCUGGAUAAGAAGCGCCGGCUAACUACGUG
RNAcentral lists this ribosomal RNA (494 nucleotides) under uncultured bacterium. Its description in RNAcentral is "partial 16S ribosomal RNA". It matches the Rfam family "Bacterial small subunit ribosomal RNA", at positions 28 to 507 of the family's 1533-position model. The record is from RNAcentral.